UACGUAGGGUGCAAGCGUUAAUCGGAAUUACUGGGCGUAAAGCGCGCGCAGGCGGUUGUGCAAGACCGAUGUGAAAUCCCCGGGCUUAACCUGGGAAUGGCAUUGGUGACUGCACGGCUAGAGUGUGUCAGAGGGGGGUAGAAUUCCACGUGUAGCAGUGAAAUGCGUAGAGAUGUGGAGGAAUACCGAUGGCGAAGGCAGCCCCCUGGGAUAACACUGACGCUCAUGCACGAAAGCGUGGGGAGCAAACAGG
RNAcentral lists this ribosomal RNA (253 nucleotides) under uncultured bacterium. Its description in RNAcentral is "partial 16S ribosomal RNA". It matches the Rfam family "Bacterial small subunit ribosomal RNA", at positions 524 to 776 of the family's 1533-position model. The record is from RNAcentral.